Acanthochromis polyacanthus (spiny chromis) is the source of this 1228-nucleotide long non-coding RNA. RefSeq lists it as uncharacterized. The record is from RefSeq and is a predicted model, not a curated record. The transcript is spliced from 2 exons. NCBI's taxonomy places the organism in Eukaryota, Metazoa, Chordata, Actinopteri, Pomacentridae.
GUUAGUUUUUGAAAGAGUGAUUGUGGAUGCUAACCUAUGUUUCUGAUUAGGGAUUCCAUUCCUUCUCUGAGUGAGGAAUACACCGCAUCUGUGCAGCAGCACUCCACAAAGAGGAGGAGGAAAUUUGGACAGGGAGAACGACAGCAGUUGGCUUCAGAGGUAUGUGGUACCAUUAUGAGCCAUGCCAAAGGUUCUCAUUUACCAAGCACCUCAUCAGCGCCACUCUGCUACAUGGAGACUUGUUUGUGCAACACACUGCACAGUUUCCAGAAGCAGCACUGGAAACUACCGUGAAGGCCUACCCCAUGUUGAACAAAGUCAAGCUGAGAACAAAGCUACCCUUCAUCUAUGAGCACGAUGAGUUCAAGGCCUGCAGCGGUGCACUGACUCUGUUCCAGUUUUUCAUGGAGAACAACCUUCAGGACAUGUUCACUGAGACUGUAAGUCUCCUCAAGAUUCUCAUCACCACGCCAAUGACAACAGCAGAAUCAGAAAGAUGCUUCUCCACUUUAAAGAGAAUCAAAACUUUCCUGAGGAACACCGUGACGCAGGAUCGACUGAAUGCUCUGGCCGUGCUCUCCAUGGAGAAAAAACUUGUCAGAAACAUUCCUGACUUUAAUAAGAGGGUCAUUGAGCACUUUGCCACACAGAAGGACAGAAGGGCAAAAUUCCAGUACAAAUAAGACACACACACACACACACACACACACACACACACACACACACACACACACACACACACACACACACACACACACACACACACACACACGCGCGGACAAAAAUGAUGAUACCCUUUAUUCAAUCUUAACUUUGCAUUUUGUUGCACGGUGUUGUUGUUGAGCCAGUCACUGCAGUCAGGUGAUUUCUGUAACUCUCAGUGAGACUUCUGCACGUGUCGACUCCUGGUGAUCAAACUGCUCCAGCUGUCUCAGGUGAGAAGGCGGUCCUUCUCCUGACUGCAUGUUUCAGCUCCUUCCACAGAUGUUCAGUAGGAUUCAGAUCAGGGCUCAUUGGAGGCCACAUCAGAACAGUUCAGUGUGUCGUUCUUAGCCAUUCUUCAGUGUGUAACUGUGUGUUUCAGGUCAGUGUGUCUUCAUUUUGUAUGCUUCCCUUGACCAGAUUUUUCUUUGUAUAAAGUUGACUUUAGCACAACACAUCAUCCAGCAAUGUAUUGCACUUAGUAAUUUUUUGAUGUUUUUGCUCAUUAAAUAAUUAUUAGUUCACA